Molecule: ribosomal RNA, 100 nt
Filed under: uncultured bacterium
Lineage: Bacteria
Description: partial 16S ribosomal RNA
Rfam family: Bacterial small subunit ribosomal RNA
Source: RNAcentral
UACACACCGCCCGUCGACACCAUGGGAGUUGGCUGCACCAGAAGCCGGUAGUCUAACCGCAAGGGGGACGCCGUCCACGGUGUGGUCAAUGACUGGGGUG